Non-coding RNA from Procambarus clarkii (red swamp crayfish), 432 nucleotides. Lineage: Eukaryota; Metazoa; Arthropoda; Malacostraca; Decapoda; Cambaridae. The record is from RefSeq and is a predicted model, not a curated record.
CAGGAUGGCGGUUGGUGGCUACGUGAGGUGAAGGCAGGUCCUUGAUGGCUGCCCUGGGUGUAGACUGCUCACUGGCGGCAGCCUUGGGUGAGGGUGAUCACUGGCUGCUGCCCAGGGUGAUGGCAGGUCACUGGCUGCUGCCCAGGGUGAUGGCAGGUCACUGGCUGCUGCCCAGGGUGAUGGCAGGUCACUGGCUGCUACCCAGGGUGAUGGCAGGUCACUGGCUGAUGCCCAGGGUGAUGGCAGGUCACUGGCUGCUGCCCAGGGUGAUGGCAGGUCACUGGCUGCUGCCCAGGGUGAUGGCAGGUCACUGGCUGCUGCCCAGGGUGAUGGCAGGUCACUGGCUGCUGCCCAGGGUGAAGGCAGGUUACUGACGGUAAACUUCCCAACAAAAUAAUUUGGCACUCGGGAAAGCAGAGUCUACGAGCGGCU